Long non-coding RNA from Panthera uncia (snow leopard), 1271 nucleotides. RefSeq lists it as uncharacterized. The record is from RefSeq and is a predicted model, not a curated record. The transcript is spliced from 5 exons. Lineage: Eukaryota; Metazoa; Chordata; Mammalia; Carnivora; Felidae.
UCUUCUACGAUGGCUGCCUGUGUGCCAGGUAGGGCUGGACAGAGGCACGUUUCUUCUGUCCAAUCUGUGGUUCACUGGAAACACCAUCACUAUUGAGGGUGAUUUCUCAUGCUUCAAAGAGCAGCAGUCAGGUCCUUCAGGGAACAGUUGGCUUUGAAAAGUAUUAUUUUUGGGAUUACAGAGCUGUGUGAUGGUUUAGUGACUAGUGGUUAUCGAAGUGAAUAUGUCAGUCUAGCGGAUGGACUUUCCUCAGGUGGCACACAAUCCAGGAAGAAACAGGGCUCAAACACACACUGUAUUCUCCCUGCUGACACCGGUGCCUCACCAUCCUGCACUCUUCCCACACCUGGAAUGCUUUGCGACCUCGGAGUCCCUGGAGUCACUGGCACCACAGCCUCUCCCUGGUCCUUACUCCAGCCUGUCUGCACUGGCCUGAUACCCACCCCUUCUGGUCUCCCUGCCUGCAGGCUCCUCCCUGCACCCCACAGGACAUCCCUUUGGGAGCCUGUGUGUGCAGAAGACUAUGCUGAGUACUGAUGGGGGUAAAAGAUGGGAAUCCAGCUCAUUGUAACCGCGGAUACCGUAAGCCAGCACCCCGCGGAGGGCUGUCCAUGUAGUGGCCCCUAAACUGUGACUCUGAGACAGAUGGCAGUGCAGGGCCCAGGACCGAGGACAGAGACACCCUUGAAGACGACCUCCUCCGAAUUGGGUUCACUGUGACAGUCUGGGUUUGCCUGUAAAAAUAAGACAUGUCACUGAGACAUACGUACACAUAGUUUUCCUAAUUUUGCCAAAGUAAAUCAAUAAGAAGGUAAAAUGAUAAAUCUGCUAAAGUAAAAAGAAGAUAAAACUAACCCAAUCAUAAAUUAGAGAAAAGGAAGGAGACUCUCUUGUCCUCACUUGGGGCCUCCCCACUUUGUGGCUACCCAGAAACCCCCCUCACCCCCCCUCCAGGGUUUGAGCCUCCUGAUGCAGCAACAUCUGCCUGGACAAUGAGAGGAUCAGCAGGCUGAAGAUCUAUCUAAACACGAGACCAAUAAGAGAAAUUACAAAGAAAAAAAAAAACGAGUGCUCAUCAGGAACUUAACAUCAGGUUGUUGCUAAAGAAGAAGUGUCUCUUUUCCAAAGAAUAUUCCAUCUGCCAGAAUUUAUGUAACUCAACAACGACACAACCGAUGUGAAUUCUGUCGGGCUGCAAGAAUACCUGUUAACAACCACCAAAGCAUUAUCGGUCCUAAUUGAGGCCUCCUCGGGGAAACAAGGUGGGAAGG